UGGGGAAUAUUGCACAAUGGGGGAAACCCUGAUGCAGCGACGCCGCGUGAGCGAAGAAGGUUUUCGAAUCGUAAAGCUCUGUCCUAUGAGAAGAUAAUGACAGUAUCAUAGGAGGAAGCCCCGGCUAAAUACGUGCCAGCAGCCGCGGUAAUACGUAUGGGGCGAGCGUUGUCCGGAAUUAUUGGGCGUAAAGGGUACGUAGGCGGUUUAUUAAGUCAGGUGUGAAAGCGUGAGGCUUAACCUCAUUAAGCACUUGAAACUGAUAGACUUGAGUGAAGGAGAGGAAAGUGGAAUUCCUAGUGUAGCGGUGAAAUGCGUAGAUAUUAGGAGGAAUACCGGUGGCGAAGGCGACUUUCUGGACUUUUACUGACGCUCAGGUACGAAAGCGUGGGGAGCAAACAGG
RNAcentral lists this ribosomal RNA (403 nucleotides) under uncultured bacterium. RNAcentral describes it as "bacterial SSU rRNA". It matches the Rfam family "Bacterial small subunit ribosomal RNA", at positions 355 to 776 of the family's 1533-position model. The record is from RNAcentral.